AUUGAACGCUGGCGGCAUGCUUUACACAUGCAAGUCGAACGGUAACAGGUCUUCGGAUGCUGACGAGUGGCGAACGGGUGAGUAAUACAUCGGAACGUGCCUAGUAGUGGGGGAUAACUACUCGAAAGAGUAGCUAAUACCGCAUGAGAUCUACGGAUGAAAGCAGGGGACCUUCGGGCCUUGUGCUACUAGAGCGGCUGAUGGCAGAUUAGGUAGUUGGUGGGGUAAAGGCUUACCAAGCCUGCGAUCUGUAGCUGGUCUGAGAGGACGACCAGCCACACUGGGACUGAGACACGGCCCAGACUCCUACGGGAGGCAGCAGGGGGGAAUUUUGGACAGUGGGCGAAAGCCUGAUCCAGCAAUGCCGCGUGCAGGAUGAAGGCCCUCGGGUUGUAAACUGCUUUUGUACGGAACGAAAAGCCUGGGGCUAAUAUCCCCGGGUCAUGACGGUACCGUAAGAAUAAGCACCGGCUAACUACGUGCCAGCCGCCGCAGUAA
RNAcentral lists this ribosomal RNA (498 nucleotides) under uncultured bacterium. RNAcentral's name for it is "partial 16S ribosomal RNA". It matches the Rfam family "Bacterial small subunit ribosomal RNA", at positions 30 to 523 of the family's 1533-position model. The record is from RNAcentral.